UGUAAUCUUGCCCCCUAGACUAAAAUCCUGGCUCCACACUCGUCCAUCUGGAAUAAGAGAGGAAGAUGAUGUUGAAAUACACAUCUUCGAAGAAGAAGAAGAAGGGGACUCAUCUCAAAACUGCCAUCCAUUGGAAGUUCCACCUCUGGCCAGGAACACCAGUGACAUUUCAGCAGUCCCAACGGGUGAUUCAUUUUGUGUGGGAUAUAAAUCCUAUCCUUUCUUCAAAUUCAAAAGUUCCGCUUACGUGUAAAAUUUCUAUAGAUGGUUUGGAUUCUUUCAAUGACCUUGGUGAUGUUACCUGAUAUAAUCAAACUCUACCGAUAUUCUUGUUUCAAAAUUGGCUAUAACAGUGGCUGAUGGAGAUAAGUCUUUGGUGUAUAUUCAACUACUUCAAAAAUUUCCCAUGAUAACCACGACAUAACAGCAGAUUCUGUAAGCAUGUCAGGCACAAAAGCAUGUAAAAUACCUUGUCCAGCUUCAUUCUAUAAAAUUAACGAAGAUAGCUUUAGAAACUGA
This is a long non-coding RNA of Quercus robur (English oak), 519 nucleotides long. RefSeq lists it as uncharacterized. The record is from RefSeq and is a predicted model, not a curated record. Lineage: Eukaryota; Viridiplantae; Streptophyta; Magnoliopsida; Fagales; Fagaceae. The transcript is spliced from 2 exons.